This 465-nucleotide long non-coding RNA is filed under the name Homo sapiens (human). Its description in RNAcentral is "non-protein coding lnc-PCSK2-2:1". Lineage: Eukaryota; Metazoa; Chordata; Mammalia; Primates; Hominidae. The record is from RNAcentral.
AUGCAGAUUUUUGUGAAAACCCUCACAGGGAAGACCAUCACCCUCAAGGUUGAACCCUCAGAUACGAUAGAAAAUAUAAAGGCCAAGACCCAGGAUAAGGAAAGAAUUCCUCCUGAUCAGUAAAGACUGAUCUUUGCUAGCAAGCAACUGGAGGAUGGAUGUGCUUUGUCUGACUACAACAUUCAAAAGGAGUCUACUCUUCAUCUUGUGUUGAGACUUCGUGGUGGUGCUAAGAAAAGGAAGAAGUCUUACACCACUCCCAAGAAGAAUAAGCACAAGAGGAAGAAGAUUAAGCUGGCUGUCCUGAAAUACUAUAAGGUAGACGAGAAUGGCAAAAUUAGUCACCUUCAUCGAGAGUGCCCUUCUGAUGAAUGUGGUGCUGGAGUGUUUAUGGCAAGCCACUAUGACAGACAUUAUUGUGGCAAAUGUUGUCUGACUUACUGCUUCAACAAACCAGAAGACAAG